AUACGUAGGGGGCGAGCGUUAUCCGGAAUUAUUGGGCGUAAAGAGUGCGUAGGCGGUUUCUUAAGCGCGGGGUGAAAGGCAGUGGCUUAACCAUUGUUAGCCUUGCGAACUGGGAGACUUGAGGGCUGGAGAGGAAAGCGGAAUUCCUAGUGUAGCGGGGAAAUGCGUAGAUAUUAGGAGGAACACCAGUGGCGAAGGCGGCUUUCUGGACAGUAACUGACGCUGAGGCACGAAAGUGUGGGGAGCAAACAGGAUUAGAUACCCUGGUAGUCCACACCGUAAACGAUGAGCACUAGGUGUCGGGUCCGCAAGGAUUCGGUGCCGCAGUUAACGCAUUAAGUGCUCCGCCUGGGGAGUACGUACGCAAGUAUGAAACUCAAAUGAAUUGACGGGG
RNAcentral lists this ribosomal RNA (394 nucleotides) under uncultured bacterium. RNAcentral's name for it is "partial 16S ribosomal RNA". It matches the Rfam family "Bacterial small subunit ribosomal RNA", at positions 523 to 918 of the family's 1533-position model. The record is from RNAcentral.